Molecule: ribosomal RNA, 465 nt
Filed under: uncultured bacterium
Lineage: Bacteria
Description: partial 16S ribosomal RNA
Rfam family: Bacterial small subunit ribosomal RNA
Source: RNAcentral
CCUACGGGAGGCAGCAGUAGGGAAUCUUCCACAAUGGGCGAAAGCCUGAUGGAGCAACGCCGCGUGGGGGAAGAAGGUCUUCGGAUCGGAAAACUCUGUUGUUAGAGAAGAAAGUGCGGGAGAGUAACGGUUCACGUUUCGACGGUAUCUAACCAGAAAGCCAAGGCUAACGACGUGCCAGCAGCCGCGGUAAUACGUAGGUGGCAAGCGUUAUCCGGAUUUGUUGGGCGUAAAGGGAACGCAGGCGGUCCUUUAAGUCUGAUGUGAAAGCCUUCGGCUUAACCGGAGUAGUGCAUUGGAAACUGGGAGACUUGAGUGCAGAAGAGGAGAGUGGAACUCCAUGUGUAGCGGUGAAAUGCGUAGAUAUAUGGAAGAACACCAGUGGCGAAAGCGGCUCUCUGGUCUGUAACUGACGCUGAGGUUCGAAAGCGUGGGUAGCAAACAGGAUUAGAUACCCCGGUAGUC